CAGUCGUCGCUGCAAGAGAAGUAAGGGCAGCAGGAAGAGAAGGGGAGGGUACACGUCUUCCAACAAGGCGCAGCCAGCUCCACAUGUGCUGCUGGCACCCUCCUAUCCUAACCCAGUGGACGCAUCGGCGAAGCGCACGAAACGAAACGCUACUCUCUUUCUCUGUAUCUCUCUCUCUCUGUGCCGGUUGAAACACGGGUGACGGGCGCCUAUUCUCCCUCUCCGCUGCGCACGAGUCCGGCACAUUGGCCUCGCUUCCCUCCUUUAUCUUUCACUGGCGGAGGAAGUACACACGCACGACGCAUAUCUGCGCUGGCCUCUCGAACUCUUUUCGUCUCCCUCUAUUCGCACGUGGUUUGAGCGCGGUCGCGUUCACUGCGAACCUUUCCUCUGCCUGUCUGCCUGCCUGUCUCGUAUCGAACUCUCAAAGGGCGCGCGACGAGCGACGAGGCGCGCAGACGGAGCAACAGAGAAGAGGCUCAUCCAACUCGGUGGGGCCGUCUUGCCAACGCCGCACACAGUACCCCCUCAGGGGGGAGGGCACGUGCGCUUUAUUUGAUCAUCGCGGACACAAGUGAGGGAGAGAUUACAAGGUGCGUACGCAAGACCAGAGCGCACGCACACGCACGCUAUGCCGUCCUCGUCCUCGUCGACGACGCACCGCUCGGAGGGCGUCCGCAGCUCUGAGCGACUCUCCGGCUCUCACUCUUCUUUGUCUGCUUCGCAUGGCCGUCCAACCAUCGGCCCAUCGCCGCGUGGCGACCGCGCCAUUGGCGCACAGACUCCACGCUCUGUCGAGUUUACGGAGGUGCCACACGCGGAGAUGGAGGAGAAAGAUACAUACAGCAGCAGCCGCACCAGCUCCAACGGCAGCCGGCUGCGUCGCUCCUGCGAUGGUAAUAGCGGCCAUGUCCAUCGCUACGCAGUGUCGGAGUCGUCGAACUGUAGCAGUUGCUUCGAGAUGCUUGAACACGUGCCAGAGAACGACAGUCACCACAGAGCAGAGACGAGCGUGACGCACGGCACUGUAACGUGCCAUAUGUCCCCCAUGCUGCCGCCGCGAUCCGGUGCGCGGGUGGGCGAGGCAGCGUGCUGUGAUAUCCGCUCAACCUGCUCGAGCCCCGCUCCUGCUGCCUCCGUAACCGUUGGUGGCACCGGUGGGUCUUCGCGGCCAUCUUCCUCCUGUCCCUCGCCUGCUGCGAGCUCGUCGCUGACGACGCCGAAGCGGGUGGACGGCGCUUUCACGGGCGCUCACAGCUCUGCCGCGCAGCCGCCGGACUCGGCGGCGCCCUUCUCCAACGAUUCGCUUGCUGCUUUGUCCACGGAGCAGAUGGAGGCGGCACUCCAGCUGUACGUGGAGAAGGGUGGCGUUUACACGAAUGAGGUCACCUCAGCGCUCCAGGCACUGCCGUGGUGUGCCGCGACCUCGGCGCACGCUUCGCCGGUCUCCAGCGUCGCUGACACGUCUGCAGCGGACACGGGCGAGGAGGCAGAGCAGCAUUUGGUCGAUCCGGAGGUCUGGCUUGGCGCUGUGGCUGCAGCGACUGCCUCCGCAGUAGCAGUAGCCGAGAACGACGAGCAAGCAAGUGUGACUGCGCCGUCUGUUGCCACGCGCAUCGCUUCAGCGGGAGUCCUACACAAGACACAAGGGCGACACAGCACGCUCGAAGAGGUCUCCACGAUGAUAAUGCAGCCUUCGAAUCUCGCCGACCCGUCUGCCCCUGUUCCCGUUGAACGAACAGUGGAGAAACGACGCAGCUCGGCUGACUCUUCGAGUGAACUUGCCGCCGUUGGCGGUGCUGCGACCGACAGCGACUUUGCUGACCAUGAGGCAGACCGUGGCCCAGGGCGAAGCUCAGCCGUUGUCUCUCCGGUGGACAGUCGCUCCCAUCUCCGCGGCGAUGAUAGCAAUGACAGCACACCGAGGGUAAACAGUGUCAACGGCCAUCAUGUAUCCACUGAUCGCAAGCUGGCCUACGGUGACGUCAACGACGACUCCACAGAGCGCCCAGCACGUGGGGAGCGCUCCCCCUCUUUUCCACAGCUGACGCGACGCCACCGAUCAGGCUCUGCGCAGCAGCAGCGACUGCCCAUGCCCAGUUUUAUGAGCAACACCCGACCACUACGAAGCUCCCCUUUAUACUCUUCCGUGUCGCCGAUGCAGCGCUCUGUGGAUGACCAACAACGGUCUCCUGCAACCGCGGCAGCGUCCUCGCCGGUGUGUGUCACGAAAGACGCGACGGAGACCGCCGCUCCCCCGGCUGCGUCGGUGUUCGAUACAGUCUUUGCGGGAACCGCAGGCAUGCACGCCCUUUUCCAGCUGUGCCUGCGGACACCCCUGGCGACGGCCUCCGCGACGAUGAGGGUUAGCGACUGGUACGCGCUCCUAGACCAGCUGCGGCACAAUGGGUGCCACAAGCUGCCACCGCAGCCAAUCCUCGACGACGUCGCCCGCACCAUCGCGCACACAAUGCAGUCUGAAGGGCAUUCAGGCGGGCUGACUUUGAGCGAUUUCGCCCGCGUUAUACAGUGCCAGCUGAAGGAGGUGAGGGUCGACAUGACAUCGCCGCUUCCUCGAAAUGUCCCCGCCGGCGACGAGACGGCGUCGCGGCAGGAGGUGGCGCUGCACUUCCCACAACACCCCAGGUAUACGGUCACUGUACCGACAUCUGCAGCAUUAUCAUCACAGUCACCCUCGUUUCCAUCGAGACGCAGCAGCCGGCGCAGCUCGCAGACGAAGCUGACACCGGUGACUGACAGCGGCCAGUGGCGUGUGCUGCCGACGUGGUGCAUGGCGCUUGCCGGUCUCUUUCCGCGAGAGAUGUCGAAGGUGUGCCCUGUGCCCGUGGUGCGCUACCUGCGCAGCGUCGGGCUGAUUCGCGCGGUGCUCGAGGCCAUCACGCAGCGCCUGCAGAUCGAGGUGGAGGCAAUCCCUGAAUGCGUAGCACCUAUAUCGAGCGCGGCCAGCAAGGAAGCAGAGAACCCGUCCGAAGGCGCAGCGGUGGAGAGCCUUGUGCUGUCAGCGUCAUGUGAGGGAUCUGGAGGGAGCAGAUCGGUGAGCAACCUGCUCGCUCGGAGCGGCGCCUCUGCCGGUGCCCGCCCCGCUAUCUCGGUCGUCGUCACUGAGAAGGCUGUUGGCGACAGUGGCGGCAGAAAUGGGACAUGGAAUGAGCAGCCGAUUUGGGGAUCUGCGACGGCGGGCAAUUACCGCAGGAGGGUAAAGCGCCGUAAAAGGGGCGCUGCCACGAACAUGGUGGCAACCCCAGAGAGGGCAGGAAGCGACUGUGCGAUAGUCGCCUCGAACCCGCAGGGGGCGAGCAGCGGUAGCAGCUGUCCCAAGGCGGGCACCACUGCCUCCGCCAGUAGUGAUACCUUCAAGUCGCACUACCUCGAUCAGCGUCCCCUCGAUGAGAUCAGCAUCUCCGUCGUGGCGCGGGCCAAGGCGCGCCGUCUCAUGGACACGCUCCGGCGCCAUACUGUCCCGAUCAACCGCUACGAGUGCUUCGCGCGUGUGGAGCAGGAGGAUGAGCCAGUGCGGCAGGCGCUGUGCUUUGUGUCUCGGGAGGAGCUGAAGGCGACCUUCAGCAGCGACGGUGGCGAGGACAGCGAUGCAGACUCGGACGCGAUGCCCGACAUGAUUGCCGCUCUGACGUACCACCCAGGGGAGGAGACAGAGGCGAGCCUAGUUGGGACGGCCGCGAAGGACGGCGGUGGCGUAGACGUGGACCAGACACGCUCGGCUCUGCCGCCUCCAACGCUGUCGCGCACGUCUACCCCCAACGUUCUGCCCACCGUCAUCAUGGGUGCCACGCGUGCUUCAAUGCACGCCGGCGGGCGGGCCUCGUCCGUCACCACAUCCCGGGUGGCUUCCGCCGGCAGCGCAGUGAGGCCACCGCCGCCCGUGCCUUGUAUGUUCCGCAUGAGCGGCGUGCUCCCCACCGCACUUCCCCGAAAACAGGAGGAGGCUCUGGUGAGUCGACUCAGCAAACCCGUCUGCGACCCUGCCGCGAUGAGUCUGCGUGUGGCCUCUAAGGAAAAUGGCUACACGUCCUGUCACGCUGCGGACACCACAACAGCCAUAGGCGCAUCCGACUCAGCAUCUGCGAACGCCAAGGCGAUUGAAGACCGCCCGACUCGUUUAGCGCGAUCACGGCGUCCCUCUGGGUCAGCCGCCCAGCGCCACUACCGGUCCCACCUGCAUCCGACGGAUCGAGAGUCGUCCAAUGACACAGUUUCGCGCAGUGGCCCAGCUGCGCCAUCGCGGAAUGGUUUCCGCCGGCGGCGCGGCCGCCCAUCCUCAUCGCGGACGGAUCGAUGCUACGCCUCCUUGUGCCCCGGUCGCCAGCAUCAGCUGUCAUCGUCGUUGGCGGCCAACACGGACAGCGGCGGCGCCUGCACGUCGCAGCCGACAGAGGGGCGAAACCGCAGUUUCUCUUUCUUCGACGUUCCUUACGUUCUUGCGGCGGCGCCGCUGUCGUCAUCGGCCGCGGCGGCGGCUGCCGCGCAAGUGAUCGGCGGCGGUGCGCCAUCCGCAUCAUCAUCGGGUGUAGCGAUUCCGCCGCAGCCGCCGGCCCUGCGUCGACAGGCAGGCCACCGUAUCGCGUCACGAGGUGCCCCUUGUGGCGCCUCGAGGGCGGGCUCCGCAGCGCCGCUUCGUGCCAAGGCGAAGGACGAGCCCGCAGACGGUCGGCGAGCUGGGAACAUCCCAAACAACGCUGUUCUCAAGCUGGCGCGGCGCGGCUUGCGCUCUAGAAGGUCAACUCCCCGACGCUCGAGUGAUGCCCCACCGCGCGACCGAAGUGCCGUUGAUGCACGUGGGGAGGAGAACAGUAGCAGGCCAAAAGCGGCCGAUGCCGCAGCUGCCGCACACCCACCGGCUGCUCCCCCGCAGCCGCACAUCUCCCUCUACGAGCGACGCCUUUGUCGACAGCUUCAACGUGCAUACUCCAACGAACACAUCUAACACCGCACGAACUGAGAUGACGGAGAAGGGUGAGGGAGGGGGGGGUGAGAGAAGGCGUACCGAUGUGGUCGCAUCUCAGGACGCCUGCAACAUGCAGAGAGAGAGAGAGAAAGGGGUGGGGCGAAGGAUGCGCGAACGGCAGAGACUGUCGGGAGGAGGGGGUGGGGCGAGCAGCCGUUGCGAUCCCGCAAUCAUUUCACCCCUCAUCGUCCGCCGCCCAGUUGCCCCUCGCCGUUUUCUCGUUCUCCUUGUAUCCCCUCACUGUGAAACAAACAAGAGGGUACUGCGACUGUGUGUGGUGUCUCACGCAAUCACCCCCCUCCCCCUUCCACGCACACGCGCAUGCAGCGAGGCCAGCACACCGCGCACCUUUCUUGCCUGCCCUUUUCUGGAUGUACAGUUCUUGACACCGCGAAUGUUCGGCCACGCAUGCGGGCACGCACAAGGCACAGUGUUGCUGAGCAAGAAGCACACGCGCAGGGCAUUGGCGGUUUCUUGUGUUUCCUUUUUUUUACCUGUGCAUGUGUGUGUGUGCGCGCACAUCUGCACAUCUGCGUAUUUGCCCUUUCCCUUCUUUUUCAACGUGUACCCCUCCCCCCUCUUCCUCCUCCUCCUUACUGGACUUUUACAAUGUCCACGUAUUCCAAAACGCUUCUCUCCGGCCCUCAAGGUUGUGGCUGCUGAUGCGGGGCGACUGCACCGCCCUUUGGCCGCUAUCAUGCUCAGGACAGCCACUGCUUCCUCCUCGGGCGCUAUGAUUUUGCAUGCGUGUCUAUGUGUCUGUGUGCUUGUGCCUUUUUUCUCCAUCUCGUCUGCGGUCGAUCCCUGCACGUUCUCAACUCGCCACACUGCACCGUGUGCGCACUGCACAG
RNAcentral lists this unclassified non-coding RNA (5835 nucleotides) under Leishmania donovani. Its description in RNAcentral is "gene:LdHU3.21.1430(CDS-product:hypothetical_prote in_conserved)". The record is from RNAcentral. Lineage: Eukaryota; Euglenozoa; Kinetoplastea; Trypanosomatida; Trypanosomatidae.